Peromyscus leucopus (white-footed mouse) is the source of this 427-nucleotide long non-coding RNA. RefSeq lists it as uncharacterized. The transcript is spliced from 3 exons. NCBI's taxonomy places the organism in Eukaryota, Metazoa, Chordata, Mammalia, Rodentia, Cricetidae. The record is from RefSeq and is a predicted model, not a curated record.
GGGGAGGGGGCUGGCGAGACCGGGAGAACUUGGCUGGCUGGCUGACUGAAUGGGGAUGCUUGGUGUGGUGGCUGUUCUUGCCAGGACAAUAGCUGGCUGACAAAAUCAGGCUCAGGCCUUUCUGACUUGAGAGAAGCCUGCGUGGAGCACAGCUUUAUGUCGGUCCAGUGCUGGCCUCAGAUGACUUGGGUGGAUCAGACUUGCUGCCUGCACUUAUGAAGCCCAUGAUCUGCCACCAACCCGUGGGCUUGGAAGCCAUGCACCUGCAGCUGGAUUCCGCUGGGACUUGUGAAAUGUAGGUCCCAAGGCCUACUCCCUGGAAAUAUAAAUCUGGCCAGUUAUUAUUGUAGCUGACAGGAUUCACAGCUGAGUGUGAUCGAGAAUUACUUUUCUACUCUGGUACUACGCAUCAUCAUGAAAGCUAGCC